CAGAGCUUGGAUAUGAACUGUUUACCUGGUUGCUGGGAACAGCAAUCACGUGAGGGCAUGUGUGUGUGUGUGUGUGUGUGUGUGUGUGUGUGUGUGUUCCACCUGUCCUCCCUUGCUCCUCCUGAGGUAGCUGGUCCUGUGCCCAACUUUGAUUCAUUUCUAGUGAAAAACAACCUGACCUGAAGAUAGGAAUUCACUCCAGCAAGAUCAUCAGGUAUGAUAAUGUGGACCUCUCAGAGUUCAUGUUAACUGGUGACUUAAUUGCACUCAAGAGUCCUUAUGUGUGAGAAACAGGAGUCUAUCAUGGUUGUCCUCUGAGAGGCUCCACCCAGCAGCUGACUCAGACAGAUGCAGACACCCACAGCCAAACAGUAGAUGGAGCUUGGGGACUCUUAUGGAAGAAUAGGAGGAAGGUUUGCAUCCCCUAAGGGAUAGGAACUCUACAGGAAGACCAACAGAGUCACCUAUCCUGGACCCUUGGGGCUUUCAGAGACAGAACCACCAACUACAGAGCAUACACGGGCUGGACCUAGGCCUUCCUGCAUGUAUGUAGCAGAUGUAUAGCUUGGUUUUCAUCCCAAACAGCUGGAGUGUGGGUUAUCCCAGAAGCUGUUGCCCGUAUGUGAGAUAUGUUCUAUAAGCUGGGCUGUCUUCUCUGACCUCAGUGGGAGAGGAUGGAUCUAGCUUCACAGAGGCUUGAUGUGCUGUGUUGGGGUUGGGGGCUCAGAAGAGGAGGGGAGAUUUGUGAAAAGGGGACUGGGAGGGGGACGGUGAGCAGGACGUAAAGUGAAUAGGUAAAAUUAUAAUAAUAAUGAUAAUUUAAA
Molecule: long non-coding RNA, 824 nt
Filed under: Mus pahari (shrew mouse)
Lineage: Eukaryota; Metazoa; Chordata; Mammalia; Rodentia; Muridae
Description: lncRNA (MGP_PahariEiJ_G0005513.1)
Source: RNAcentral